ACACAUGCAAGUCGAGCGGGGGAAGGUAGCUUGCUACCGGACCUAGCGGCGGACGGGUGAGUAAUGCUUAGGAAUCUGCCUAUUAGUGGGGGACAACAUCUCGAAAGGGAUGCUAAUACCGCAUACGUCCUACGGGAGAAAGCAGGGGAUCUUCGGACCUUGCGCUAAUAGAUGAGCCUAAGUCGGAUUAGCUAGUUGGUGGGGUAAAGGCCUACCAAGGCGACGAUCUGUAGCGGGUCUGAGAGGAUGAUCCGCCACACUGGGACUGAGACACGGCCCAGACUCCUACGGGAGGCAGCAGUGGGGAAUAUUGGACAAUGGGGGGAACCCUGAUCCA
Molecule: ribosomal RNA, 337 nt
Filed under: Acinetobacter baumannii Naval-81
Lineage: Bacteria; Pseudomonadati; Pseudomonadota; Gammaproteobacteria; Moraxellales; Moraxellaceae
Description: bacterial SSU rRNA
Rfam family: Bacterial small subunit ribosomal RNA
Source: RNAcentral